This 885-nucleotide ribosomal RNA is filed under the name Triticum aestivum (bread wheat). RNAcentral describes it as "partial small subunit ribosomal RNA". Lineage: Eukaryota; Viridiplantae; Streptophyta; Magnoliopsida; Poales; Poaceae. The record is from RNAcentral.
AUGGGGCGAUGGGUCGGGUCAAAGGUGAUGAAUCAAUUAACGGACGGAGCAGACAAGAGGAGAGGAACAGAAUCACGAGAGGGGCCGGCCGAUGCAUCAUGCUGGUGCUACGUACUGGUACAGCCGCGGCACCAUCCCUGUCUCGCCAACUUUUGCUUCCUCACCCCCGCAAAAAAAAAAAAAAAAAACUUUUCCUUGCUCACAGUCGGCCUCUGUGCUCUGCAGUGCCGCGCCUCCUCGAUCUUGUCAAAAAGGCUUCCCCUUCCCUUCCACGACGCGACGCAAGCCCGGCCUGCCCCCGUACCCUAUAACCAAGGCGGCAUUGCAUUUGCAUUCCACCUACCUACAACGAAUUUGGCGGAGGAAGAAGCGGCAAGGCAAGGCAUGAAGGAGGCGGCGGCGGGGGUGUCCCCGUGCGCGGCGUGCAAGCUGCUGCGGCGGCGGUGCUCGCCGGGGUGCGUGUUCGCGCCAUACUUCCCGUCGGGGGAGCCGCACAGGUUCGCCAGCGUGCACAAGGUCUUCGGCGCCAGCAACAUCAGCAAGCUCCUCCAGGAGAUUCCGGCGGAGCACCGGGGCGACGCGGUGAGCAGCCUGGUGUACGAGGCGAACGCGCGCGUGCGCGACCCCAUCUACGGCUGCGUCGGCGCCAUCACGUCGCUGCAGCGGCAGGUGGAGUCGCUGCAGACCCAGCUCGCGCUGGCGCAGGCCGAGAUGGUCAGGCUCAGGAUGGCCAACGCCUACGGCGGCGGUGGGAGCAGCGCCAGCGGCUCGCCGUCCUCCAUGUCGUCGCCGACCAAGGCCACGCCGGACCAUCACCACAUGGCGGUCGACCAGCCCGGCGUGAUGGAGCUGGAGCUCGAGUGCUCCAGGUUCUGGUCCUUCUGA